Molecule: ribosomal RNA, 500 nt
Filed under: Streptococcus sp. oral clone BP2-25
Lineage: Bacteria; Bacillati; Bacillota; Bacilli; Lactobacillales; Streptococcaceae
Description: bacterial SSU rRNA
Rfam family: Bacterial small subunit ribosomal RNA
Source: RNAcentral
AGAGUUUGAUCCUGGCUCAGGACGAACGCUGGCGGCGUGCCUAAUACAUGCAAGUAGAACGCUGAAGGAGGAGCUUGCUUCUCUGGAUGAGUUGCGAACGGGUGAGUAACGCGUAGGUAACCUGCCUGGUAGCGGGGGAUAACUAUUGGAAACGAUAGCUAAUACCGCAUAAUAGCAGUUAUUGCAUGAUAACUGUUUGAAAGGUGCAAUUGCACCACUACCAGAUGGACCUGCGUUGUAUUAGCUAGUUGGUGGGGUAACGGCUCACCAAGGCGACGAUACAUAGCCGACCUGAGAGGGUGAUCGGCCACACUGGGACUGAGACACGGCCCAGACUCCUACGGGAGGCAGCAGUAGGGAAUCUUCGGCAAUGGACGGAAGUCUGACCGAGCAACGCCGCGUGAGUGAAGAAGGUUUUCGGAUCGUAAAGCUCUGUUGUAAGAGAAGAACGAGUGUGAGAGUGGAAAGUUCACACUGUGACGGUAUCUACCAGAAAGGCG